RNAcentral lists this small RNA (123 nucleotides) under Salmonella enterica. Its description in RNAcentral is "RtT sRNA". It matches the Rfam family "RtT RNA". Rfam says of the family: This family represents a bacterial cis-regulatory element known as RtT RNA. The exact function of RtT is unknown although it is thought that it may be involved in changing the cellular response in relation to amino acid starvation. The record is from RNAcentral. RNAcentral also lists the same sequence under 2 other names. Lineage: Bacteria; Pseudomonadati; Pseudomonadota; Gammaproteobacteria; Enterobacterales; Enterobacteriaceae.
CUAUCUGCGAUAUGGAAGAUUCGAACCUGCCGCAGGUUCGGGUCGAACGCAGUGAGACAACGGAGCCGUUUACGGCGACGGCCCGAAGGGCGAGCAAAGCGAGUCAUCCUGCACGACCCACCA